This 497-nucleotide ribosomal RNA is filed under the name uncultured bacterium. RNAcentral describes it as "partial 16S ribosomal RNA". It matches the Rfam family "Bacterial small subunit ribosomal RNA", at positions 28 to 507 of the family's 1533-position model. The record is from RNAcentral.
GACGAACGCUGGCGGCGUGCCUAAUACAUGCAAGUCGAGCGAACAGACGAGGGGCUUGCUCCUCUGACGUUAGCGGCGGACGGGUGAGUAACCCGUGGAUAACCUACUUAUAAGACUGGGCUAACUUUGGGACACCGGAGCUACUACCGGAUAAUAUAUUGUACCGCAUGGUUCAAUAGCGAAAGACGUUAUUGCUGUCAUUUGUAUAUGGCUCCGCGCCGCAUUAACUAGUAGGUAAGGUAACGGCUUACCAAGGCACCCGAGGGUAGCGGUCCUGAACGGGUGGUCGGCCAGACGGGAUGUGAGAAACAGUCGACACACUUACGGUGAGCAGCAGUAGGGAAUCGUCCGCGAGGGGGGAAAGCGUGACAGAGCAACGCCGCGUGAGUGAUGAAGGUGUUCGGAUGGGAGAGCUCUGUUGGUAGGGGAGAAGAAAUGUGUAAGUAACUAUGCACGUCUUGACGGUACCGAAUCAGAAAGCCACGGCUAACUUCGUG